CACGUAGGAGACUAGCGUUAUCCGGAUUUACUGGGCGUAAAGCGCGUGCAGGUGGCUCGGAAAGUUCGAUGUGAAAGCUCCCGGCUUAACUGGGAGAGGUCGUUGAAUACUUUCGGGCUAGAGGAUGGGAGAGGGAGGCGGAAUUCCGGGUGUAGUGGUGAAAUGCGUAGAUAUCCGGAGGAACACCAGUGGCGAAAGCGGCCUCCUGGCCCAUUUCUGACACUCAGACGCGAAAGCUAGGGUAGCAAACGGG
This 253-nucleotide ribosomal RNA is filed under the name uncultured bacterium. RNAcentral's name for it is "partial 16S ribosomal RNA". It matches the Rfam family "Bacterial small subunit ribosomal RNA", at positions 524 to 776 of the family's 1533-position model. RNAcentral also lists the same sequence under 1 other name. The record is from RNAcentral.